CAUCAUUCAAUCAUCUUGGUAAUUUUUCCUCCAUUUCUAAAAUUCUACGCAAUGGUGUGGCUUAAAUUCACCAACGCGCUGUUUUUGAUUGUUCGAUUCGACGGUUUUGGGCCUUGAUUUCCACAGAAGAACAGGGCUUUCAAUUGCUUCAGCAACAGCAGAAGUUUGUGAUACAAAUGCAGGACAUAACAAGCGGAGAUCUCCAAGUACUGCAAGCGUCAUUCGACAUUUACGGGCAGCAGCGAGCAUUUUCGGGACGGAUAGUGUGACGGUGAAGGUGUUUUCAGACAAUGUUUUGGUGAGAGAGGUUCUUAAGGGUUGGUGGGGGUCUGAUUCAUGAAGGAGAAUGGUUGUAUUGGUGAUGGUGAUAUGCCAUUUUAGUGUCCAAAUUUGAGCUGUCUGUAUGAAUAGAUAGCCUGAUUGAGUAUCAUACACAAACCCUCUCUAUUGGCUCUCUAUUGCUUCUUCUUUACGAGUUCUUGGCUCUCUGGUUGUUGACUUCCUUCCAUCUGUACAGAUUCAGUUAUGUAUUUGUGAUUCUAAAUAAAAGGGACUUUCGUCUCUGUUCGACC
Cucurbita moschata (crookneck pumpkin) is the source of this 572-nucleotide long non-coding RNA. RefSeq lists it as uncharacterized. The record is from RefSeq and is a predicted model, not a curated record. Lineage: Eukaryota; Viridiplantae; Streptophyta; Magnoliopsida; Cucurbitales; Cucurbitaceae. The transcript is spliced from 2 exons.